AUUGAACGCUGGCGGCAUGCUUUACACAUGCAAGUCGAACGCGUGGCGAACGGGUGAGUAAUAUAUCGGAACGUACCGAGUAAUGGGGGAUAACCAAUCUAAAGAUUGGCUAAUACCGCCUAUUCUUCUAGCGGCCGAUAACUGAUUAGCUAGUUGGUGGGGUAAAGGCCUACCAAGGCGACGAUCAGUAGCGGGUAUGAGAGGACGAUACGCCACAAUGGGAGUGAGACACGGCCCAGAAUCCGACGGGAGGCAGCAGUGGGGAAUUUUGGACAAUGGGGGCAACCCGGAACCAGCCAUGCCGCGUGUAUGAAGAAGGCCUUCGGGUUGUAAAGUACUUUUGUUAGGGAAGCGGUACCUAAAGAAUAAGCACCGGGUAACUACGUGCCAGCAGCCGCGGUAAUUC
This 406-nucleotide ribosomal RNA is filed under the name uncultured bacterium. RNAcentral describes it as "partial 16S ribosomal RNA". It matches the Rfam family "Bacterial small subunit ribosomal RNA", at positions 30 to 526 of the family's 1533-position model. The record is from RNAcentral.